UUCAAAUGUUCAUAGAUGGCUUGGGGCUUGCAGGGACAGAUCUUCCAGUGUCACCAGGAGCCUCUGGGAUAGGCGGGAAACGCUUCCUACAGGGGGUGGGGCGGGGGGCGCAUUUGAGCUCCAUGUGGGGAAGGCCCAGGGCAACUCUAAGCUGAGUGCAGAGUCCCAGGUCCCGAAAAUAGUGAGGCUUCCAGGUCACGAGGUUACACCAGCAUCCAUGACGUCAGCAGGCCAGCGGCGGGCCCUUAGCCAUGGAGGUUCAGAUCGUGUGGGUUGUGGGUCCCACGGUCCCAGAGUCAGCCGGGCGCCCAUUGGCUUGGCCUCAGGAUGCCCAGGGACAUGCCUGGUGCAGCUGGGGCAGCAGGAGCUCACUCUACCAUGAAAUAUUCAUGGCUGCUGGCAAAGCCCGGCCCUAAAAUAUAGUUUGCAGAAGAAAAAGAGCCAUCAGGCAUUUAAUCAUUGUGUUAAUGAGGCUCUAUUUGGAAGCAAACUCCAUCUGACUGCGUCCUAGACAGCAAGAGUCAGGGCCCGGCCAACCUGUGUUGCCGGCCGCAGGGGCAGCCUCAUCCCUGAGACACCAGUGGGAGACACGCCCGGGCAAGGCACAGGCUUGGCUCGAGGCCAUGGCCAGCGGCCCUCCACUUCAGGGGAGCCCAUGAGAUUAUAACGGCAUCCUGAGGUUUGCCAAAAAGCAUCCUUUUAAGCAGAAAGCAAGCAACGGCCCUGCAUGGAGGCGCCACAGAUCCAGUCUGGCUGAGCAGGGGCUAGACCAACUCGUUUUCCCUAAGCAGCUUCCUCGGGGGAACCACUACCCCUCCUGCCUCCAGCUCCCCCUGCUGCCCAGGCCGCCGCCACAGACACUGCAAAUUACCAUCCAGACAAGAUUGCCGGGCCCUUUACAAAGCCUGAAGCAGCUCCUGCAGCCGCCGUCAGCGUCAGCAGCCGCCCUUCUUCGCCAGGUGUGCUGAUUGCAAGUCUCUCUGUGCGGCAGGAGGGGACGUCUCCAAAGGGCAGGCGUCCAGUGGCAGCACCGCAGGCCUGUGGGUGUUCCACCUGCAGAGGCCCCAGAGCAGCCCACGGAGGGCCACGGUGGUAUUAUUCCCAUUUCACAGGGAAGAAGCAAGGUCAGAGCUCUUCCCAGAUGGCUCACGCCAGGCCCAUGCUGCCCGCCCUUACCCGCUCCUCCCGUCCGGCGCUUGAGAGACGUGGUGUCUGGAAAGUCUGUCCCAUCCCAGCUUCCACAACACCCACUGAGACCCACGCCAACGCGCCCCGCCCACGAGAACCCAGGUCACUCCCGCUUGGUGACUGCGGAAGAACUUUCCGGGUGUCACGUUGGUCCAGUCCCAGGUCAAUUUAAUCAAAUCUGGAAAUCUGGGCCGGCACCUGGUUCGGGACUCAUCCCCUGUUGCUAGGAAACCCAACUCCUGCGGAUCCCACCCUGCUCCAUCCGGAGACAGUGGGAGAGACCCUCCUGCAGCUGAGGCCAGGGCUGGGGAAUGGCUGGAGAUGGAUGGGGACAGCAGUGGCCUUUGCACUGGCUGACUUCACAGCAGAACUCCCACGAGUGCCGAGAAACAGCGUGUAGGGGCGCUGCUCUCCCUACAAGCCCUUCCAGGCGCUGCAGGUCACUUAGAAGCUUGUGGCGCAUCCCUCGGUACCUCUCUCUGCCUGCGCACCAUAAACACCCAGACUACAGGGCCAUACCUGUCUCUUCUUGGUCUCCCCAGCAUCCUGCAGAUUAGUGGCCCUUCAGACACUUUGCACCCCAGUAGGGGGUGGGGAGGCUGGUGGAAAGUGAGCCCUGUGGCUCCUGGAGAAGCGGCGAGCAGCAGGCAGUGUUACACAAGGGUCCUCCCAACCCAGCUGACCUCACCAGGUCAUUCAUGCAAGAAUGCGGGGCCAAUGGGUUUCUGCCAGGCGUGCCAGGGCUGAGGGCACCCCUGGGUCCUCACAGCCCCCACUGUCCAGGGACAGCAGAGUCCUCCUUCCCUUUGCCAUUUCCAUGUUUCUCAUUUCAAUAAUUCUUGCAGCCCAUGUUGUGUAAAUAAAAUUAUUCUUCCCAAAAAAAUCGUUAGCAGAGCCCGACAUUAAUUCCCCUGCAAUCUGUGUAAUUAACUGCAUGUAAUAUAGGGCAUUAAAGGACCGGUUUGCUAAUCACCACUCCUCCGCUCCACGCACCUAAUUAAAUCUCCUUCCUGUUUAUCCACUUACAGGAUCCUCUGCAAAGAUACCAGGCACCAGGAACACUGUUGUAAUAAAUCUUUGCGUAAUUUUAGAGGGUGCAGUCCCACUCUGUUUCAUUCCCACUGCUGAGCCCCUCCUCCCUGCAGCCACGUCUCCCCAUGACUCGGC
This 2355-nucleotide long non-coding RNA is filed under the name Homo sapiens (human). RNAcentral describes it as "HSALNT0156660". Lineage: Eukaryota; Metazoa; Chordata; Mammalia; Primates; Hominidae. The record is from RNAcentral.